UACGGAAGGCAGCAGUGGGGAAUAUUGCACAAUGGGCGAAAGCCUGAUGCAGCUAUGCCGCGUGUAUGAAGAAGGCCUUAGGGUUGUAAAGUACUUUUCAUCGGGGAGGAAAAAACAAAACUAAUAAUUUUAUUUCUUGACGUUACCCGAAAAAGAAGCACAGGCUAACUCCGUGCCAGCAGCCGCGGUAAUACGGAGGGUGCUAGCGUUAAUCAGAAUUACUGGGCGUAAAGAGCACGUAGGUGGUUUUUUUAAGUUCAGAUGUGAAAUCCCUUGGGCUUAACCUGGAACUGCAUUUUGAAACUGAAAUACUAGAGUAUCGUAGAGGGAGGUAGAAUUCUAGGUGUAGCGGUGAAAUGCGUAGAUAUCUGGAGGAAUACCUGUGGCGAAAGCGGCCUCCUAAACGAAUACUGACACUGAGGUGCGAAAGCUGGGGAGCAAACAGGGAUUAGAUAC
Molecule: ribosomal RNA, 456 nt
Filed under: uncultured bacterium
Lineage: Bacteria
Description: bacterial SSU rRNA
Rfam family: Bacterial small subunit ribosomal RNA
Source: RNAcentral